UUUAGGCCAUGUAGGAAAUACAGUUCUCUGGAGACUGCUCCUGCCUUAAGUGAGUGUCAGUUUGGUAAGCUGCUAAAAUGAGAAAGAGCUGCUGUUUUUACAUGGGCCAUCACUUCUCAAACACUGAAGGCACAAUGGGAAAUGGAAUUCAGAUAGGAAGUCCAGACUGGACAGGCUUCAGACUCCAUAUUUGCUUGCAUCUCAGCUGGCUCUUCAUCGUGAUCAUGAGACCAAUGCUUCUGUUCCAAGAAUCUCAUGAAAAAAAAUCCAAUGUAAGAAGAGGGACCAUUCUUCUUGUUUUGAUACCAAGGAGAUUCCUUAGUAAGCAUUCUGCUGGCUAAAUUCCACCUGAGUCUACCUCCUAGGAAACCCAACCGAUGACGACGAUUGAAUAACACAUUUAAGUACUGAAAUAAGUAAAGCUGUCAACCCAGCUUCUGUAUGCUACAAAAUUAUCUUUCAAAAGUGAAGAAAAAUAAAGAUGUUUUCAGAUGGACAAAAGCUAA
Molecule: long non-coding RNA, 506 nt
Organism: Ailuropoda melanoleuca (giant panda)
Lineage: Eukaryota; Metazoa; Chordata; Mammalia; Carnivora; Ursidae
Exons: 3
Source: RefSeq, a predicted model, not a curated record